GAUGAACGCUAGCGGCAGGCCUAAACAUGCAAGUCGAGGGGCAUCGCGGUGCAGCAAUGCACUGGCGGCGACCGGCGUACGGGUGCGUAACGCGUAUGCAACCUGCCCCGCACCGGGGGAUAGCCCGCCGAAAGGCGGAUUAAUACCCCAUGGUCCCGGGGGCCCGCAUGGGCAUCCGGGUAAAGCCUUGGCGGUGCGGGAUGGGCAUGCGUGCCAUUAGCUGGCUGGUGGGGUAACGGCCCACCAGGGCAACGAUGGCUAGGGGGUCUGAGAGGAUGGUCCCCCACACUGGUACUGAGACACGGACCAGACUCCUACGGGAGGCAGCAGUGAGGAAUAUUGGUCAAUGGGCGGAAGCCUGAACCAGCCAUGCCGCGUGCGGGAUGAAGGCCCUACGGGUUGUAAACCGCUUUUCCCCGGGAAGAAUAAGCCCCCCGCGGGGGGUGAUGCCGGUACCGGGGGAAUAAGGAUCGGCUAACUCCGUG
Molecule: ribosomal RNA, 485 nt
Filed under: uncultured bacterium
Lineage: Bacteria
Description: bacterial SSU rRNA
Rfam family: Bacterial small subunit ribosomal RNA
Source: RNAcentral